The sequence is a transfer RNA, 89 nucleotides long. It matches the Rfam family "tRNA". Rfam says of the family: Transfer RNA (tRNA) molecules are approximately 80 nucleotides in length. Their secondary structure includes four short double-helical elements and three loops (D, anti-codon, and T loops). Further hydrogen bonds mediate the characteristic L-shaped molecular structure. tRNAs have two regions of fundamental functional importance: the anti-codon, which is responsible for specific mRNA codon recognition, and the 3' end, to which the tRNAs corresponding amino acid is attached (by aminoacyl-tRNA synthetases). tRNAs cope with the degeneracy of the genetic code in two manners: having more than one tRNA (with a specific anti-codon) for a particular amino acid; and 'wobble' base-pairing, i.e. permitting non-standard base-pairing at the 3rd anti-codon position.
GGAGCAUUGGCCGAGAGGUCCAAGGCAGCGGCAUGCUAAGCCGUGGCCGCGCAAGCGGCUCGUUCGUUCGAAUCGAACAUGCUCCGCCG